Molecule: ribosomal RNA, 447 nt
Filed under: uncultured Desulfobulbus sp.
Lineage: Bacteria; Pseudomonadati; Thermodesulfobacteriota; Desulfobulbia; Desulfobulbales; Desulfobulbaceae
Description: bacterial SSU rRNA
Rfam family: Bacterial small subunit ribosomal RNA
Source: RNAcentral
UGUGGUUUAAUUCGAUGCAACGCGAAGAACUUACCUGGUCUUGACAUCCCGGAGACCCUUAGGAAACGUAGGGGUGCUUCCAUCUGGAAGAAUCUGGAGACAGGUGCUGCAUGGCUGUCGUCAGCUCGUGUCGUGAGAUGUUGGGUUAAGUCCCGCAACGAGCGCAACCCUUGCCUUUAGUUGCCAGCAGUUCGGCUGGGCACUCUAAAGGGACUGCCGGUGUUAAACCGGAGGAAGGUGGGGAUGACGUCAAGUCCUCAUGGCCUUUAUGACCAGGGCUACACACGUACUACAAUGGCCGAUACAAAGGGCAGCGACACUGCGAGGUGAAGCCAAUCCCGUAAAAUCGGUCUCAGUCCGGAUUGGAGUCUGCAACUCGACUCCAUGAAGUUGGAAUCGCUAGUAAUCGUGGAUCAGCAUGCCACGGUGAAUACGUUCCCGGGCCUU